AGGUGGUCAGGUAGAGAAUACUCAGGCGCUUGAGAGAACUCGGGUGAAGGAACUAGGCAAAAUGGUGCCGUAACUUCGGGAGAAGGCACGCUGGCGGUAGGUAAAGUCCCUUGCGGACGGCGCUGAAGCCAGUCGAAGAUACCAGCUGGCUGCAACUGUUUAUUAAAAACACAGCACUGUGCAAACACGAAAGUGGACGUAUACGGUGUGACGCCUGCCCGGUGCUGGAAGGUUAA
Molecule: ribosomal RNA, 236 nt
Filed under: Proteus mirabilis
Lineage: Bacteria; Pseudomonadati; Pseudomonadota; Gammaproteobacteria; Enterobacterales; Morganellaceae
Description: partial 23S ribosomal RNA
Rfam family: Bacterial large subunit ribosomal RNA
Source: RNAcentral